AUGGCGCCCCCACCGCUCCACCUCCCGCCCUACUUAGCCCCAACCUGGCCCUCCGGGCGCCCCCGUCCGGCGCCAUCAUUGAGAUCACCGUCACCGCUCCACCCCUUCUCCGACCUCCUCACCGAGGCGCUCGGGGCCGAGAGCUUAGACCCCGACGACGUCGCCAUGGACGGCGUCCCCGCGGUCGAAGGCUGGGCCCAGUCUUGCAAGAGGCAGCAACACCACCUCCAGGAAGUCGACGACGAAGCCGACCAAGGGUUCGUGAUGCCGAGGCGGACGAGGAGCGGGAGGGCGUUCCCGCCGCCGAUAUCGGUCAUCGGCAAGGGCGGGCGGCCGUGGCUGACCCUCCGGGCGCACCGGGAGGACGGCCGGCUCGUGCUGCGGCAGAUGCGGCUGCCGUCGCAGGAGCUGCUCCAGUCAUGCAAGGAGGACGGGAGGUUCAAGCUGUUUAUGCACCCUGAGACCGGUGGCCGAUGCGUCGCCGGCGCGGGAUCACGCGCCACAACGGCCGUGGCGCAAGACUAG
This 525-nucleotide ribosomal RNA is filed under the name Triticum aestivum (bread wheat). RNAcentral's name for it is "partial small subunit ribosomal RNA". The record is from RNAcentral. Lineage: Eukaryota; Viridiplantae; Streptophyta; Magnoliopsida; Poales; Poaceae.